GGGCCGGUAGCUCAGUGGUAGAGCACGUGACUUUUAAUCAUGUGGUCGCGGGUUCGAUCCCCGCCCGGCUCACCA
Molecule: transfer RNA, 75 nt
Filed under: Prosthecodimorpha hirschii
Lineage: Bacteria; Pseudomonadati; Pseudomonadota; Alphaproteobacteria; Hyphomicrobiales; Ancalomicrobiaceae
Also listed under: 5 other names
Description: Prosthecomicrobium hirschii tRNA-Lys
Rfam family: tRNA
About the family: Transfer RNA (tRNA) molecules are approximately 80 nucleotides in length. Their secondary structure includes four short double-helical elements and three loops (D, anti-codon, and T loops). Further hydrogen bonds mediate the characteristic L-shaped molecular structure. tRNAs have two regions of fundamental functional importance: the anti-codon, which is responsible for specific mRNA codon recognition, and the 3' end, to which the tRNAs corresponding amino acid is attached (by aminoacyl-tRNA synthetases). tRNAs cope with the degeneracy of the genetic code in two manners: having more than one tRNA (with a specific anti-codon) for a particular amino acid; and 'wobble' base-pairing, i.e. permitting non-standard base-pairing at the 3rd anti-codon position.
Source: RNAcentral